RNAcentral lists this ribosomal RNA (1100 nucleotides) under Symphysodon longicuspis. RNAcentral describes it as "eukaryotic LSU rRNA". It matches the Rfam family "Eukaryotic large subunit ribosomal RNA", at positions 46 to 1133 of the family's 3401-position model. Lineage: Eukaryota; Viridiplantae; Streptophyta; Bryopsida; Hypnales; Pterobryaceae. The record is from RNAcentral.
CUAAGCGGAGGAGAAGAAACUAACCAGGAUUUCCCUAGUAACGGCGAGCGAACCGGAAAGAGCCCAGCUUGAAAAUCGUGGUGCCUCGCACCUCGAGUUGUAGUCUGGAGAAGGUCCCUCUGCGACGCGCCGGACCCAAGUUCCCUGGAAAGGGACGUCAUCGAGGGUGACAACCCCGUCCGCGCCCGGAAGGCGUCGCUCCACGAGGACCUGUCUGCGAGUCGGGCUGUUUGGGAAUGCAGCCCUAAUCCGGUGGUAAAUUCCAUCGAAGGCUAAAUAUGGGCAAGAGACCGAUAGCGAACAAGUACCGCGAGGGAAAGAUGAAAAGGACUUUGAAAAGAGAGUUAAAAAGUGCUUGAAAUUGCUGGGAGGGAAGCGAAUGGAAGCUGCGGGUGCGCCCCGGUUGGAUGUGGAACGGCUUCGGCUGGUCCGCCGCUCAACGCGGGGCGCUGGUCAGCGUGGGCCGCCGCGCCGGGACAAGAGCGGGGAUUCGCUUCCCGCCUAUGCCGGUGCGGUGGCCGAGGAACGAAGCGCGCGCCCCCCUCCGGGGGCGUGGGGCCUUCCCAACUGCGCGCUCGGGACGCUGGCGUAUUGAGCUCUUCAUCCGACCCGUCUUGAAACACGGACCAAGGAGUCUAACAUGUAUGCGAGCCGGUGGGCGGCAAACCCAUUGAGGCGCAAGUAAACUGACAGGUGGGACCCCGACCGCGAGGGAGGGAGCACCAUCGACCGACCGUGAUCUUCUGUGAAAGGUUUGAGUGUGAGCAUACCUGUUGGGACCCGAAAGAUGGUGAACUAUGCCUGAGCAGGGCGAAGCCAGAGGAAACUCUGGUGGAGGCUCGUAGCGAUACUGACGUGCAAAUCGUUCGUCAGACUUGGGUAUAGGGGCGAAAGACUAAUCGAACCAUCUAGUAGCUGGUUCCCUCCGAAGUUUCCCUCAGGAUAGCUGGAGCUCGUGUGCACAAGUUUUAUCAGGUAAAGCGAAUGAUUAGAGGCAUCGGGGGUGUAACACCCUCGACCUAUUCUCAAACUUUAAAUAGGUAAGCCGCCGGGGUUGCUUGGUUGAACCCCGGCACAGAAUGAGAGCUCCAAGUGGGCCA